RNAcentral lists this ribosomal RNA (472 nucleotides) under uncultured bacterium. Its description in RNAcentral is "bacterial SSU rRNA". It matches the Rfam family "Bacterial small subunit ribosomal RNA", at positions 355 to 825 of the family's 1533-position model. The record is from RNAcentral.
UCGGGAAUUUUGGGCAAUGGGCGAAAGCCUGAUCCAGCAAUGCCGCGUGAGUGAAGAAGGCCUUCGGGUUGUAAAGCUCUUUUGUCAGGGAAGAAACGGUGAGAGCUAAUAUCUCUUGCUAAUGACGGUACCUGAAGAAUAAGCACCGGCUAACUACGUGCCAGCAGCCGCGGUAAUACGUAGGGUGCAAGCGUUGUUCGGAUUUACUGGGCGUAAAGGGCGCGUAGGCGGCAUGACAAGUCACUUGUGAAAUCUCUGGGCUUAACCCAGAACGGCCAAGUGAUACUGUCGCGCUAGAGUGCAGAAGGGGCAAUCGGAAUUCUUGGUGUAGCGGUGAAAUGCGUAGAUAUCAAGAGGAACACCUGAGGUGAAGACGGGUUGCUGGGCUGACACUGACGCUGAGGCGCGAAAGCCAGGGGAGCAAACGGGAUUAGAUACCCCGGUAGUCCCUGAGCGGGCUGGCAAGGCGCAU